CUGGAAAUAACACUUUUGGGGCUUGGGUGAAUCUGCACUCAUUCUGGGGCUCCUCGUCUGAGUGAUAAACUGGAUUCGGUCUAAAAGUAAACAAGGGAGCAAAGCACUUAAAUUGUCAACUUGCGCAUGUCAACAAAUUGUUAAACUGUUCAAUUGCACAUCAACAACAAAUGGUUGAAACUAGUGAUGCACCGAAAUGAAAAUUCUGGGCAGAAACCGAAAAUUUAGGAUGCACUUGGCCGAAAACCGAAACUGAAGCCGAAAAUUGCUUCUUUUAAAAACUCAUACUAUACACACACACACAUAUACAUAUAACAUUUGAAUAUAAAAAUUGAAACUACUGCGGAAACAAAGACACCUACAUCUUGGAUGCCCUUGAGGUAACCUAAAACAUACCAAAAUGUAAUUUCAAAGUGAACUAUCCCUUUAAUCUUUGAUUGGCAGACGCGUGAUAACAGCUCGACCGUGAGUGAAACCUAAGCUUGCACACGGAUGGGAGGGGGCAUGGUGGCUCUCCUCCUCAGACUGGAUGUCAGUGAUGUCACAAUCUUUAUUGAGAUAUCUGUCCAGGCUCCUCGCUGCCUCAUCAUGACUAUCUACAAACAUGGAAAAACAGUCAAGUACAGUCAGAGUCAGGAGAAAUUAUGUCAGACAGGGGUAUGUUCAGAUUCUUAUACCACAAAUCUUAUACCAGAACACCCACCACGAGUUAUGAGGAGACGGAUAGGCUGGUAUGUGUGCCAUCCCUGACCAGGCUGCUCUCUAUUCAGGAUGGCUGCAUUCAGCCUAAUAGAGUCCUUAGGAGGGUAUGGGGGCCAGAAGACUUUAUCUCCUUCAACCCAUGAGUUUGGCACAAUUUCAGUUGCCCCACUUCUGAACUGAACAACGCACCAUGUGGUCAUUUUUUUUAUUGCAGGGGAUUACAAAGACUAUAGAAAAAAGCAAGGGAAAAAAAAAACUUAUUUAUAAACUGAUGAACUGACUGCAUAAACUGAUUAUAUGAACUGAUUUGGAAAUUUUGGAAAAAAUUUAAUUGGUAUGAAUGAUGGGAAUGGCGAUGAACUUGGUUUUGUCUGGAUAAAUUGUGUACUUUUUGCCGAUGUGCUGAAGCCUAGUCACACCGACAUUCUUGCACAUCCCCCAAACUGUGUAUACCCUAGUGUUUUCAGAUGGAAAGGGAUACUGGCCAUAGGACUCUUUUUUGGUAAACUUGCGAAAAAUUAUGUAAGUCUCCUGACCUACCCUGACAAUGUUUUCAACAACGGCAAUGUCAUCUACAAUUUGAAAACAGUUAUCCCCAGACCUAGAUGAUAUUGUGUACUUUUCUGUAACAAGCUUACAGAACUGGUCCCCACAGCUUAAUGAAGAGAUCAAUGGACCACCAUAAUGAGGAUGCAUGAAUUUUUGUCCUUUCUUCAAUGUGUCCAAUGUCGGUGCAGGUGAUUCUGAGAGCCUUUUUACUACUUGCUGUAAAGGCAAGUGAGGCUUGCGCAAUAGGUGCUUUAGUUGCGCUAAAUAACUCUCAUAAGGAAAUGCAGAUAUGUUGUCCAAGGGACCAAACAGACGGUAUUCUGAUGCCAAGUGUGUCAGCUGAUGGACAUUGUAGGUGAUUUCACCUUUCCCAUAUAGCUGACCAAAGUGAGUUACGAAGGAAGUCAACAAUCCCUGAGCGCAAUCAAUCAUUUCCUCUGAUGUUCCAGGCGACAACAGCAGAUGCAUGGCCACAGAAAGUAACAUAAAGUUUUCAUAAAU
Cyprinus carpio carpio is the source of this 1752-nucleotide long non-coding RNA. The record is from Ensembl. NCBI's taxonomy places the organism in Eukaryota, Metazoa, Chordata, Actinopteri, Cypriniformes, Cyprinidae.